Meriones unguiculatus (Mongolian gerbil) is the source of this 1965-nucleotide long non-coding RNA. RefSeq lists it as uncharacterized. The record is from RefSeq and is a predicted model, not a curated record. The transcript has 2 exons. NCBI's taxonomy places the organism in Eukaryota, Metazoa, Chordata, Mammalia, Rodentia, Muridae.
UGGAAGAUGGACUUAGUUUCUUCAUCAAGUGCCCAGUCUGACUUUAAUUAGCAUACAAAUGUUGUGGGGGGGCAUCACACAGCGGUGUCCUAGUUCUUGGGAAAGUAUUGUCCUUGUUUCUUUGGGUGAAAGAAGGGAAUUGCUGGAGCCAAUCAAACUGCUCCUAAGAUCAAUGGUGGGAAAGUUGGACAGGAGACGCUGAAGGAGAAAAAGGAUUUCACCAUGAGAGGUCCGAAGCCAUGGCCGUUGAGAGACUAAUCAGAAAUAUGAGGAGCUCAUCCCAAAGCUGCCUUUCCAGAGAGACAGACAGACAGAGACAGAGAGAGACAGGGAGAAAGAGAGACAGACAGAGGCAUAGAGAGAGAGAGGUUGCCCAGGCGACCAGAAUGCAGGUGCUGGUGUGCACUCGGAGGCUAGAGAAGAGUAUCUAGCGGGUUUGUUUGAUGAUGCGCCUUUCUGUGCCAUCCUCGUGGAGAGCUGCCACCAUGACCAAAGCCAUCAGCUGGUUCACCAGAUGAGCCUCAGGGAUGACGGACGAGGAGUGGGCUUGAUCUCAUGGGCACCGUCUACUCUGGGAAUGUUGUCACACACAUGGAGUCUUUGGCUAUGGUAACUUCAAAUAUAUACGCAUAUAUAUGAAUACAUACAUAAAACCUAUACCUCCAGUGGUCAGAGAAUUAAGAAGACUGUGUGUCUCCUCUUGAACUCACAGAUUUGGCAGUCAGGUGUGGAGCAGGCACUGGAGUCCUUUCAGGAAGGCUUGUGUUCUUUCUCUGGUUACCAUUCAGUAUCUGACCCUGGGGUUGACAAGGUCUCUGGCCCAUUGCUUUCUCUAAGAAAUGGAUAUGGAUCAUCUCACAGGAAGGUUUCCAAAGUUCUUUAAAUAGUUUAUGUAAAAAUAUAAAGAAUUAUAAUUCCUUAGAGUUGUAAUAAUUGCAAGAAACACCAUUUCUUUCUCAGGAUCUAGAAUUGGCCGUGAUCUUUAAGAUGUAAAGAUAAAAUAGAUUAUCAAACAAGUAAAAAUAAUUGAAUUGCAGAAAAACCUAAUUAUAAUUCUCUAGAUUCACUAGAUGCAUAAUUUACAUUGCAACAAGUUUGGUGGUUGGGACACUGCCGAAACUCCGUGCUGUGUGAAAUGGCUCAUUCGGUGUCUCUUUGGGAAUGCAAAUGGAAGCAAGCCUACUUUGGAAAUUCAAUAAUGUUGGCUCUAAGAGAUGAUUAAGAAAAUUAAUCCACAGCCCCAAAUAUUUGACGUGGCCACACUGCCCCGCCACCCCGCCACCCCACAAACUUAAUACAAGGUGAAUUUUUAAAAGCCAGUUGAUUGCAAAUGUUAGGGUGUUAACGUAAGGGGAAUACAACAUUUAGCAAGCAGGCAGUAUCGGUACAAGAGAGUGAGUCGUCAGCCCUGCAGAGACACCAGGCCUAGCUGUCACCCAGCUUCCGGCACUCAGCGUUAGGGGAGUCCUGCCUUCUUGAAUACUAAUCAAAUGGAAAUAACCAUAAGCAAAUGCUCUCUAUGAUUCCUUUCUUAAAAAUUCAUACCGAGGAGACACAUCCUUCUAAGAGAUUUUAUGAGGGGUAGAACUGAUCUUAGCAUUCGGUCUAAUCCUUGUUUUUACCGAAGUCUGCUUAGACACAGAGCGAUGUUUUUGCAGUGUGGUGGUUUAGAACGGCUGAUUUCCUCUCUGGGAGCUGAGCAACCCCGAGUGCUGCUCAAGUGGACUCCCCUACUGCACCGAGUGACGGCUCUGCACAUACCGAGAGUCACUGCCCAGGCAGAAAUUUUGGUCGCUUUUGUAAAUUCCGAGCCUGGGAUUUCAGAGUGACUGAUUGGUUCUUAGAGGCAAAAACUGAACAUUGUACAGGAGACAGGUUAACACAUUUGGCUUACUGCUCACAUUUAUUGGGGCUAAAGAGACUGAAACAACUUUCUUCCCAAAGAAUUGAGAAAAAAAAAAAUAA